CCUACGGGUGGCAGCAGUGGGGAAUAUUGGGCAAUGGGCGCAAGCCUGACCCAGCCACGCCGCGUGAAGGAAGAAGGCCCUCGGUUUGUAAACUUCUUUUGUCAGGGACGAAACAAAUGACGGUACCUGACCAAUAAGCCUCUGCUAACUACGUGCCAGCAGGCGCGGUAAUACGUAGGUGGCAAGCGAGAUCCGGAUUUACUGGGUGUAAAGGGCGUGUAGGCGGGAGAGCAAGUCAGAUGUGAAAUUCCAGGGCUCAACCCUGGAACUGCAUUUGAAACUGUGUUUCGUGAGUGAUGCAGAGGCAGGCGGAAUUCCGUGUGUAGCGGUGAAAUGCGUAGAUAUACGGAGGAACACCAGUGGCGAAGGCGGCCUGCUGGACAUUAACUGACGCUGAGGCGCGAAAGCGUGGGGAGCAAACAGGAUUAGAUACCCCUGUAGUC
Molecule: ribosomal RNA, 443 nt
Filed under: uncultured bacterium
Lineage: Bacteria
Description: partial 16S ribosomal RNA
Rfam family: Bacterial small subunit ribosomal RNA
Source: RNAcentral